Molecule: unclassified non-coding RNA, 333 nt
Filed under: soil metagenome
Description: partial contains 5.8S ribosomal RNA, internal transcribed spacer 2, and large subunit ribosomal RNA
Rfam family: 5.8S ribosomal RNA (bases 1-120)
Source: RNAcentral
GAUGAAGAACGUAGCGAAAUGCGAUAAGUAAUGUGAAUUGCAGAAUUCAGUGAUUCAUCGAAUCUUUGAACGCACAUUGCGCCCGCCAGUAUUCUGGCGGGCAUGCCUGUUCGAGCGUCAUUUCAACCAUCAAGCUCUGCUUGCGUUGGGGAUCCGCGGCUGCCCGCGGUCCCUCAAAACUAGUGGCGGGCUCGCUAGUCACACCGAGCGUAGUAACUUUACAUCGCUAUGGUCGUGCGGCGGGUGCUUGCCGUAAAACCCCCCAAUUUUUAAGGUUGACCUCGAAUCAGGUAGGAAUACCCGCUGAACUUAAGCAUAUCAAUAAGCGGAGGA